GGGGCCCUGGUAGACAGAAGGAUGCACAUGAGCCAGCAAUGUGCCCUUUGUGGCCAAGAAGGCCAAUGCCAUCCUGGAAUGGAUUAGAAGGGCUCCCAGGAACUGCAGAAUCUCAUCCAAGUGCUCCCACUAACACUGUGUGCACUGCCAGCCCCUCCUCGUGCUCCCAGCGUGGCUCCAGUGUCCACUCAGUGCCCCAAGUGACCCCCAACUUCCUAGGCCUCCUAGUUAUCCCCGUGUCAUCUCAGUCCCUCUCAGUGCUUCCAGCCCCUCCAAAUUCCCUUGCCAGUGCUCUCCCCGUUUUCUUAGUGCCCCGAGUAACCUCUAGAUCUCCUUGCCAGUGCUCCCCAUGUGGCCCCAGUGACCUCCCUGUUUCUCCCAGUAUCCCAAACUCUCUUGCAGUGCCAGCAGUAACAGCAACUGCUGCCCAGUUUCCGUCAGUGCUGCCAGUAACAGCCAAUGCCUCCCAGUGCUCCUGGUGACCCCAGUCCCUGACAGUGCUCCCCGUCAUUCCCAAAGCCUUUCCCAGGGCUCCCAGUAAUGCCCAGUGACCUCCCAAUCCCACAUAACUCCUCCCCGGGGCUCCCAGUAACGGCCAGGGUUGCUCAGGUCCUGAGGACACGCAGCUGCAGUGGUGUCUGCUGUCAGCUCGUGGGGGAGGUGCCUGUGGCUGCCUGUCCGAGAGUGCCUGGGCUCUUAGUGGAGCUGUUGGGCAGCAGUAACCUUUGUCUCUCUUUUCUUGCAGUGCCCCCAGAAAGGACUUGGAGUGGCAGAGGUUCUGAGAGCUGGAAGCAUCCCAUGGUUUAAUGCAUGAGAGCAAGAAGCAGCAGAGAGUCGUGGCUGCCAGUGAUAAGUGCAGGGCCUGCAGGGCGAUGUCAGGGUAGUAAAUGUUGGGGGACAUGCGAGAGGGUGGGAGCUGCAGCCCUGUGCGGCAGCUCUGAUAGAAGACAAAAGCAGCCGGGGCUCAGCCGUGUGCCAAAGGUGCAAAAGUUAGGCAGAAGGAUGUCCCUGGCUUGGGUGGAGAAGAAGGAGCAGAGCCUGUCAGCUGUCCUUGUCUCUGGCUUUCUUUCCCUGACACCAUACAGGGGGUGAGGGCUGUGACGAUGAAGCAGAGGAGCAGGUGAGUGAGGGGUGGGGGCAGCCUCCCUUGCAAGGGUGCUUGCAGCCCUGCACGUUUGAAGGGCCUGAGAAUUCUUGGAGGGGAUUAAAACACACUGCAGACUGCGUUAGUGGGAGGUGCUCCAGGAGAAGACGAGCUCUGUUUUUCCUCUAGCUCCUGCAAAACGGCCUUAAUUCUCGUGUCAACAGCUCCCCCUGUGUCUCCUCUGCUGUCUAUAAAUCCCUCCAGAGUAGAUCAAGGAAGUGCUGAGUAGCCCCAGCUGGAGUUGAGAGCUGUCCCUAUAAAGUGCUUGGAGAGUACAAGCCCUCAGCGGUGUGCGGUGAUGGUGCUGUGCAGGCCAAGGCAGGCUUUGAGCAGGAUGUCCGAAGGAAGCAGCUCUGCGGUGCCGGCAGAAGCUGGAGCGGCAGCUGGCAGCCCAGCACAGCUCUCUCCAGCAAGCAUGGAAUGAGCUGAAGGAGCAGCAGGAGCAGCAUGGCCAUUCCCCAGGCAGCAGGAGGGUUCAGCCCAGCACCAGCUCAUGCGGGAGGAGCAGAUGCUGAGGAACAUCCCCCACGAGAUGCAGGUGGCAGAAGAGGCUGGGUCAGGAUCUGAUCUCAGCGUGGAGCUGCAAUAAAUCUUGCUCAAGUGAGAUGUGACUCUUCUGAGCACAGCCAGUUUGUCAUUUCCCCCCCAAGCAAACAAGCUGCUUGCUCUGCAACUCCAGCUUGCUGCUUAGCAUCGCUUAGAGUAGCUUCCUGAAAGAAAGCCCUCAGCUACCUGGAGUAAACCUGGAGAGGGAAACCACUGCUGCUGCUGCCUGUGGGCUAAGAAAGCUGUUCCAAGGAGAAGUUUGACUCUGCUGGCAGGGGGUGGAUAAGCUAAUUCAGCUUUUCUUCCCUUUGCACUGAUCAAGUAUGUGACCUUGCCUGAGUUGCCUGCUGUUGUGGUCUUCAAAGAUGGAGCUUCCUUUGUUUCUGAUGGUAAGUAAAAGUGGAUAUUGGCCAUAUCAUGGAAUCAGCCAGGCUGGAAGAGACCUCCAAGAUCACCCAGUCCAACCUAGCACCCAGCCCUAACCAAUCAACUGGACCCUGGCACUAAGUGCCUAACAACCAGCCUGUACCUCUCUUGGCACAACUUGAGACUGUGUCCCCUUGUUCUGUUGCUGGUUGCCUGGCAGCAGAGCCCAACCCUAGCUGGCUACUGCACUGCUCCUGUGCACUGCGGCCCUCCUCUGGACCUGCUCCAGCAGGUCCUUGUCUCUUCUGUUGGAGGUUCUGUAGCUGUGUGCAGUACUCCAGGUAGGUCUCACCAGAGCAGGGCAGACUCAGACUCACAGAGUCAAGCAGGUUGGAAGAGAGCUCCAAGCUCAUCCAGUCCAAUCUAGCCCCCAGCCCUGUCCACUCAACUGGACCAUGGCACUAAGUGCCUCACCCAGGCUGUUCCUGAGCGCUUCCAGACACGGUGACUCUGUGGUGCCACAGCAAAAUACUCCAGGUGGGCCCUCAAGGGUAUUCUUUGAGCUGUCAUGGAAGGGCUGUGCUUGCCUUCCUCUUCGCUCUAUUGCCUUGCAACCAGUCACCCACCAAAGAAAAGUUCACUCAGUGACCUCCUUGAUCUGCAUUUGAUUUAGUUUUACUUUUGAAGCGGCCUGGAGAAGGAAAUUUUGUCAAAGAGAAACAAUUUUAAACUGCUGUUUUGUGAUGUGACCUGUCUGCUUUUGCCACCCCUGUCAAAACACACAAGCCUUGUUUCAAUCCAGGCUCCUAAUUCACUUUGCACAAAUCUUACUCUCUUAAAAUGUAUUAGAAGGGUUUUUGUAAACCAGUCAGUGCAGAGGCCCUGCAAGAGACUGGAUAUUGUUUUAUGUGCAGCUUACCAUUGGGCAGGAAAGUGCUGUCAGUCACAGCUCCCUUCCCAUGUCACAUUCCCUGCUGGGAGAGGAUUGUUUGUCCUUGGUUUGGGUGAAACUAAUCAGCCAAUCAGCACUGCAUGCUGUGCUCUAAUACACUUUUUGUUCAACAGCUGCAAAUUGCUGUAGCAGCUUAGGAGUGACAUUUCUGGAAAGGUGAGAGACCUUGUCUGGAAACAGUAGAGGGUUAAAAAUAGGCUUCUCUAGGCUGAAAUAAAUGUUAUUGCCCACCUCACAGCAGCAACAGAAGAACACAUUCUGCUUGCUUGCUUGCUUUCUCUUUUGUUGUCAGAGUGUGAAGAUGGUGAUUUGUCAUCCUGGAUAAACAGAGCAAGAUUUCAAGGGUAUCUUCAUGUGGAUGGCUUUACACUUCAUGAACUUGGAGACAGAGGAAAACUUGUGGCUAUUGCAGUCAUUGAUGAUAAAAACUCUUCAGUGGAACAUACCAGGAACAGAACUGAGUGUUGGUGACAGUGUGGGAGAAGUUUGCUGAUAUGAUGUAGAGAACUUGGGGAAGUUUGUUAGAUCUGAAGAGAUGCCAGGACUAAAAUCUGUCACUCAGGAAGUUGCCAGAGAUUAUGGGGAUAGUUUUCACAGGGAUUUCCAGUUUGGCCACAUGGAUGGGAAUGACCACAUGAACAGUUUGCUAAUGGAGAGAGUCCCAUUUCAUUCUUGAUGCUUUCUUUAAGAGAGGCAUACAACUGAGCUCCCUCAGAGAAGCAGCAUGAAGUGCAUGAAGGAUGCUGGCUGCACUCAGUACAGACAAGGCACAUUGGAGUAGGUUAACAAGAUGCUUGACAUUUGCCCUUAAUGGUCAUUGUCUUCAAAUGCAUCAUUCGGGAGUGAAGUUGCUUGGCAUUUGCAGUUGACUACUUCUUCUCUGGCCUUUGGAGUGAAGGAAGGGAAAAACCAGAGUUGAAGAUGUCAGCUCUGUGCCAAAAAGGAGAGCUUCUUCACCUGCUUCUCCUGUGCAAGCUCUUCUGUCUGUCUGCUGAGAUGUUUCUGCCUGUUUCUCUGGCAGAGAAGUGUUUGCUUUUUUGGCUGGCGAGCUGACCAUCCGUACUACCGUCGCCUUGAAUGCCUCCAACCAGCAGUGUUUGCUGCCAGACAGACACCUGGAGAAGACAGAGGACAUGCUGCGGUGGCUCCGAUUGUUACGCCGUGUGAUUUAUCUUCCUGUCCUGGCUGUCUUCCCGUGCUGGGUGCUGGCAGUGAAUACGUGGUGAGGAGUGCUUGGGGUGUGCCAUCCUUUGCUGUUCUCACUGUGGGAACUCCAAGAGCCAUGGAAUGGGCACAGGCUGGUGAUGGACUUCUGCAACGAAGCAAGAGAGUCAUCUAUGAGGCCAAGGCUGCUGUAAUGGUAGAGUUCAUUGCUUAUUCAGUGAGGUGAUGCUCUUGUCAGUCAAGAAGGACUUAGUUGCAGAGGCUUUAGAAAUGCUUUGAUGUAAGCUUGUUGCUAUGCUGUGCCUAGUGUAUCUAUUGUCACUAUUUAGAACUAGGCUUAAACCAAAUGAACUUCUGGAUUAAAACAGCCAAUCAUGUCUGCCACA
RNA transcript from Pogoniulus pusillus (Red-fronted tinkerbird), 4558 nucleotides. RefSeq lists it as uncharacterized. The record is from RefSeq and is a predicted model, not a curated record. Lineage: Eukaryota; Metazoa; Chordata; Aves; Piciformes; Lybiidae. The transcript is spliced from 13 exons.